UGAGGAAUAUUGGUCAAUGGGCGAGAGCCUGAACCAGCCAAGUAGCGUGAAGGAUGACUGCCCUAUGGGUUGUAAACUUCUUUUAUAAAGGAAUAAAGUCGGGUAUGGAUACCCGUUUGCAUGUACUUUAUGAAUAAGGAUCGGCUAACUCCGUGCCAGCAGCCGCGGUAAUACGGAGGAUCCGAGCGUUCUCCGGAUUUAUUGGGUUUAAAGGGCGUGUAGGCGGGAAUGCAAGUCAGAUGUGAAAACUAUGGGCUCAACCCAUAGCCUGCAUUUGAAACUGUAUAUCUUGAGUGCAGUUGAGGCAGGCGGAAUUCGUGGUGUAGCGGUGAAAUGCUUAGAUAUCACGAAGAACUCCGAUUGCGAAGGCAGCCUGCUAAGCUGCAACUGACAUUGAGGCUCGAAAGUGUGGGUAUCAAACAGG
This 424-nucleotide ribosomal RNA is filed under the name uncultured bacterium. RNAcentral's name for it is "bacterial SSU rRNA". It matches the Rfam family "Bacterial small subunit ribosomal RNA", at positions 355 to 776 of the family's 1533-position model. The record is from RNAcentral.